GGAGAUUGGCCUUUGAUACUGCAGGUCUUGAGUCUAGCUGAGGUAGGCGGAAUGUAGUAUGUAGCGGUGAAAUGCAUAGAUAUACUACAGAACACCCAUUGCGAAGGCAGCUUACCAAACUAGCACUGACGCUCAGGCACGAAAGCGUGGGUAGCAAACAGGAUUAGAUACCCUGGUAGUCCACGCCGUAAACGUUGAUCACUCGUUGUUGGCAAUACACCGUCAGCGACUAAGCAAAAGCAUUAAGUGAUCCACCUGGGGAGUACGAUCGCAAGGUUGAAACUCAAAGGAAUUGACGGGGGCCCGCACAAGCGGAGGAGCAUGUGGUUUAAUUCGAUGAUACGCGAGGAACCUUACCCGGGCUUAAAUGUUGCGUGCAUUCCCGUGAAAACGGGAUUUCCUUCGGGACCCGCUACAAGGUGCUGCAUGGUUGUCGUCAGCUCGUGCCGUGAGGUGUCGGGUUAAGUCCCAUAACGAGCGCAACCCCUAUCUUUAGUUGCCAGUCCCGGUUUAACCGGGAGGGACUCUAAAGAAACUGCCCGCGCAAGCGGUGAGGAAGGCGGGGAUGACGUCAAAUCAGCACGGCCCUUAUGUCCGGGGCUACACACGUGCUACAAUGGCCGGUACAGUGGGCAGCUCAUGCGCGAGCAUUUGCUAAUCUCUAAAACCGGUCUCAGUCCGGAUCGGAGUCUGCAACCCGACUCCGUGAAGCUGGAUUCGCUAGUAAUCGCACAUC
This 736-nucleotide ribosomal RNA is filed under the name uncultured bacterium. RNAcentral describes it as "bacterial SSU rRNA". It matches the Rfam family "Bacterial small subunit ribosomal RNA", at positions 615 to 1350 of the family's 1533-position model. The record is from RNAcentral.